ACACAUGCAAGUCGAGGGGCAGCAUGGUCUUAGCUUGCUAAGGCCGAUGGCGACCGGCGCACGGGUGAGUAACACGUAUCCAACCUGCCGUCUACUCUUGGACAGCCUUCUGAAAGGAAGAUUAAUACAAGAUGGCAUCAUGAGUCCGCAUGUUCACAUGAUUAAAGGUAUUCCGGUAGACGAUGGGGAUGCGUUCCAUUAGAUAGUAGGCGGGGUAACGGCCCACCUAGUCUUCGAUGGAUAGGGGUUCUGAGAGGAAGGUCCCCCACAUUGGAACUGAGACACGGUCCAAACUCCUACGGGAGGCAGCAGUGAGGAAUAUUGGUCAAUGGGCGAGAGCCUGAACCAGCCAAGUAGCGUGAAGGAUGACUGCCCUAUGGGUUGUAAACUUCUUUUAUAAAGGAAUAAAGUCGGGUAUGGAUACCCGUUUGCAUGUACUUUAUGAAUAAGGAUCGGCUAACUCCGUGCCAGCAGCCGCGGUAAUACGGAGGAUCCGAGCGUUAUCCGGAUUUAUUGGGUUUAAAGGGAGCGUAGAUGGAUGUUUAAGUCAGUUGUGAAAGUUUGCGGCUCAACCGUAAAAUUGCAGUUGAUACUGGAUAUCUUGAGUGCAGUUGAGGCAGGCGGAAUUCGUGGUGUAGCGGUGAAAUGCUUCGACAUCACGAAGAACUCCGAUUGCGAAGGCAGCCUGCUAAGCUGCAACUGACAUUGAGGC
Molecule: ribosomal RNA, 712 nt
Filed under: uncultured Bacteroidales bacterium
Lineage: Bacteria; Pseudomonadati; Bacteroidota; Bacteroidia; Bacteroidales
Description: bacterial SSU rRNA
Rfam family: Bacterial small subunit ribosomal RNA
Source: RNAcentral